CUCCUCCUACGGGACGCAGCAGUGAGGAAUAUUGGUCAAUGGGCGGGAGCCUGAACCAGCCAAGCCGCGUGAGGGAAGAAGGUACAGCGUAUCGUAAACCUCUUUUGUCAGGGAACAAAGGCGGGGACUAGUCCCCGGAUGAGGGUACCUGAAGAAAAAGCAUCGGCUAACUCCGUGCCAGCAGCCGCGGUAAUACGUAGGGGGCAAGCGUUAUCCGGAUUUACUGGGUGUAAAGGGAGCGUAGACGGUUGUAUAAGUCUGGAGUGAAAGCCCGGGGCCCAACCCCGGGACUGCUUUGGAAACUG
Molecule: ribosomal RNA, 305 nt
Filed under: uncultured bacterium
Lineage: Bacteria
Description: bacterial SSU rRNA
Rfam family: Bacterial small subunit ribosomal RNA
Source: RNAcentral